Molecule: unclassified non-coding RNA, 337 nt
Filed under: soil metagenome
Description: partial contains 5.8S ribosomal RNA, internal transcribed spacer 2, and large subunit ribosomal RNA
Rfam family: 5.8S ribosomal RNA (bases 1-120)
Source: RNAcentral
GAUGAAGAACGCAGCGAAAUGCGAUAAGUAAUGUGAAUUGCAGAAUUCAGUGAAUCAUCGAAUCUUUGAACGCACAUUGCGCCCGCCAGUAUUCUGGCGGGCAUGCCUGUUCGAGCGUCAUUUCAACCAUCAAGCCCCCGGCUUGUGUUGGGGACCUGCGGCUGCCGCAGGCCCUGAAAACCAGUGGCGGGCUCGCUGUCACACCGAGCGUAGUAGAUUUUCAUCUCGCUCAGGGCGUGCUGCGGGUUCCGGCCGUAAAAAGCCUUAUUUACCCAAGGUUGACCUCGGAUCAGGUAGGAAGACCCGCUGAACUUAAGCAUAUCAAUAAGCGGGAGGA